AAUGCUCAGUAACACGUGGAUAACCUGCCCUAUUGUCUGGAAUAACCUCGGGAAACUGAGAACAAGGCCGGAUAACCCACCAUGCCUGGAACGGUUGGUGGGUGAAGGUAGGAUGGGUCUGCGGCGUAUCAGGUUGUAGGGGGUGUAACGGACCCCCUAGCCAUCGACGCGUACGGGUGUUGGGAGACAUAGCCCGGAGAUGGAUUCUGAGACACGAAUCCAGACCCUACGGGGUGCAGCAGGCGCGAAAACUUCACACUGCAGGAAACUGGUGAUGAGGGAACUCCAAGUGUGUGCAUUUUAUGUACACUUUUCUGAACUCUUAAUCGGUUCAGGAAUAAGGGGUGGGUAAGGACGGUGCCAGCCGCCGCGGUAAUACCGGCGCCUCAAGUGGUAGUCGCUUUUAUUGGGCCUAAAACGUCCGUAGCCGGUCUGGUGCAUUCGUGGGUAAAUCAACCCGCUCAACGGGUUGAAUUCUGCGAGCACGGCCAGACUUGGGACCGGGAGAGGUGUGGGGUACUCUCAGGGUAGGGGUAAAAUCCUGUCAUCCUGAGAGGACCACCUGUUGCGAAGGCGCCACACUAGAACGGAUCCGACGGUCAGGGACGAAACCUAGGGGCACGAACCGGAUUAGAUACCCGGGUAGUCCUAGGUGUAAACGCUGUGGACUUGAUGUUGGGGGCGCUCCGAGCGCUUUCAGUGUCGAAGCGAAGGUGAUAAGUCCACUGCCUGGGGAGUACGGUCGCAAGGCUGAAACUUAAAGGAAUUGGCGGGGGAGCAC
RNAcentral lists this ribosomal RNA (781 nucleotides) under uncultured archaeon. RNAcentral describes it as "bacterial SSU rRNA". It matches the Rfam family "Archaeal small subunit ribosomal RNA", at positions 85 to 879 of the family's 1478-position model. The record is from RNAcentral.